UACGUAGGGUGCAAGCGUUAAUCGGAAUUACUGGGCGUAAAGCGUGCGCAGGCGGUUUUUGUAAGUCAGAUGUGAAAUCCCCCGGGCUUAACCUGGGAACUGCGUUUUGAAACUACAAGGCUAGAGUGUGGCAGAGGGGGGUGGAAUUCCACGUGUAGCAGUGAAAUGCGUAGAGAUGUGGAGGAACACCGAUGGCGAAGGCAGCCCCCUGGGUUAACACUGACGCUCAGGCACGAAAGCGUGGGGAGCAAACAGG
Molecule: ribosomal RNA, 256 nt
Filed under: uncultured bacterium
Lineage: Bacteria
Description: partial 16S ribosomal RNA
Rfam family: Bacterial small subunit ribosomal RNA
Source: RNAcentral